Molecule: ribosomal RNA, 301 nt
Filed under: uncultured bacterium
Lineage: Bacteria
Description: partial 16S ribosomal RNA
Rfam family: Bacterial small subunit ribosomal RNA
Source: RNAcentral
CAGUAGCCGCGGGAAUACGAAGGGUGCAAGCGUUACUCGGAAUUACUGGGCGUAAAGCGUGCGUAGGUGGUGGUUUAAGUCCGUUGUGAAAGCCCUGGGCUCAACCUGGGAAUUGCAGUGGAUACUGGAUCACUAGAGUGUGGUAGAGGAUAGUGGAAUUUCCGGUGUAGCAGUGAAAUGCGUAGAGAUCGGAAGGAACAUCUGUGGCGAAGGCGACUAUCUGGGCCAACACUGACACUGAGGCACGAAAGCGUGGGGAGCAAACAGGAUUAGAUACCCGGGUAGUCCCUGUCUCUUAUAA